RNAcentral lists this ribosomal RNA (253 nucleotides) under uncultured bacterium. RNAcentral describes it as "partial 16S ribosomal RNA". It matches the Rfam family "Bacterial small subunit ribosomal RNA", at positions 524 to 776 of the family's 1533-position model. The record is from RNAcentral.
UACGGAAGAGGCAAGCGUUAUCCGGAAUUACUGGGAGUAAAGCGCGCGUAGGCGGCUGACCAAGUCAGCUGUCAAAGGGCCGGGCUUAACCUCAUAACUGCAGUUGAAACUGGUGAGCUAGAGUGUGGUAGGGGUAAGGGGAAUUCCCUGUGUAGCGGUGAAAUGCGUAGAGAUUGGGAAGAACAUCGGUGGCGAAAGCGCCCUGCUGGGCCAGCACUGACACUGAGGUACGAAAGCUAGGGGAGCGAACGGG